RNAcentral lists this non-coding RNA (24 nucleotides) under Cricetulus griseus (Chinese hamster). Lineage: Eukaryota; Metazoa; Chordata; Mammalia; Rodentia; Cricetidae. The record is from RNAcentral.
UGGAACUCGCUCUUGUAGACCAGG